GAUUUUGGGAGAGAUGGAUGCGGCUCAAAAGCUUUCGAUCCAUCGCAAAAAUAAUCUAUUGGAGUAAUCCAAAUGCAUAUCAUAUCGAUGACGUCACCAAGCGAGGAAGCGGCAGAAUCGGCUGCGACAGAUGGUGGAGCUGGUUUGAAGCAGAUGUCGGAUAGAGACCAGUC
Caenorhabditis elegans is the source of this 173-nucleotide non-coding RNA. Lineage: Eukaryota; Metazoa; Nematoda; Chromadorea; Rhabditida; Rhabditidae. The record is from Ensembl.